GACGAACGCUGGCGGCGUGCUUAACACAUGCAAGUCGAACGGUAAGGCCCUUCGGGGUACACGAGUGGCGAACGGGUGAGUAACACGUGGGUGAUCUGCCCUGCACUUUGGGAUAAGCCUGGGAAACUGGGUCUAAUACCGGCUAGGACCAGGGCAUGCAUGUGCUGUGGUGGAAAGCUUUUGCGGUGUGGGAUGGGCCCGCGGCCUAUCAGCUUGUUGGUGGGGUGAUGGCCUACCAAGGCGACGACGGGUAGCCGGCCUGAGAGGGUGUCCGGCCACACUGGGACUGAGAUACGGCCCAGACUCCUACGGGAGGCAGCAGUGGGGAAUAUUGCACAAUGGGCGCAAGCCUGAUGCAGCGACGCCGCGUGGGGGAUGACGGCCUUCGGGUUGUAAACCUCUUUCAAUAGGGACGAAGCGCAAGUGACGGUACCUAUAGAAGAAGCACCGGCCAACUACGUGCCAGCCGCCGCGGUAA
RNAcentral lists this ribosomal RNA (478 nucleotides) under uncultured bacterium. RNAcentral describes it as "partial 16S ribosomal RNA". It matches the Rfam family "Bacterial small subunit ribosomal RNA", at positions 28 to 523 of the family's 1533-position model. The record is from RNAcentral.